Alexandromys fortis (reed vole) is the source of this 5350-nucleotide long non-coding RNA. RefSeq lists it as uncharacterized. The transcript is spliced from 8 exons. The record is from RefSeq and is a predicted model, not a curated record. NCBI's taxonomy places the organism in Eukaryota, Metazoa, Chordata, Mammalia, Rodentia, Cricetidae.
AGAGGAGAACAGGGGCACAGAGAACACGGGGCACAGCUGAAGAGAGGUCUAUGAUUUUGGAGCAGAGGAAUGACACCAUGUGGAAGACGAUGGAGUCUUGUAGGGAAGUAGACAUGAAACGUUUUAAAAGAAAAAAUGUUGACCCAGGAAUGUAGCUCUCUUGCUGGCAGAUACAAGACCCAGAGUUAUCAGCAACACACACACACACACACACACACACACACACACACACACUGUGGGAAAUAUAUGGACUGAACAUAGGAAAUUAAGAGAGUUUAGAGAAAGCAUAAAGCUGACUACUUGAAACAGGGAAUUUCAGAAGAAGAAACUAAGAUGAAAUCGGACGUUGUUGGGACAUAUGAGUGAGAAGAUGUAACAUCAGAAUCUUAAGCACCAGCUGUGGAAUUUGAUACUGUUUGCGAGACUAUGAGGAGAUGUGUAGGUUAUGGGAACAACCACAGCAAUGAGAUCUCACAGCCCACUUAGGGACCUGCUCUUGAUGUGCGGCAGGGAUGGAAAAAACAAAAACAAAAGAAGAAGAGAAGCAGAUAGAUGGAGGUAUUUCUCAAACAGUGGUCCUGAGGAGAGAAAGGGAAGCAUGGACUGAGGUACAGACCUUUGCUCAGCAGAGGAGAGCAAUGUGUGAGAUGGGAGUCAGGGACACUGAGAACUGGCAGGUGUGGGAGUGUGUGUGUGUGGCAGGUGUACGGUUUUAGAUCACUCCAAACGGCAGAUUUCCUGGACGCCUUCCUGGGGAGUCAGGAACACCAUCAUGGAGAGACCGCUACAGAAAUGAUAAGGAUGAGUUGUGGGAGGAAAUAAAAAUUCCAGGAGACAACGAAGGCAGGAAGCUCAGAGUUAGAUUAGUGGCCAAAGAUACAAAAACCGAGUUCGCAUAUUUUUAAACUAUAUGUCGCCCUAUCCCCCAAAAAGGCCCGUUGCAAAUUAUAUGCCUUUCGAAUGGGGUUAGGUCAGUCCAGAAGCCCGCAUUCUCAGUUCUCAAGGAGACCACGUGCACUGUGUUACCAUGUAAAACCACCAAUGGAAAUUAAGGUCCUACGCAGAAAAAUAUUUAUACAACUGCUGGGGCCACUCAGAUUCCACCGGUGUGUAGGCGGGGAAAGAGGAGGAGUAAAGAAUGUUUACCAACGAAGUACACAGCAGCCCUAUCUAAGAACCAGGAAUUGGGGUCCCUAGCUUUAAAUUAGGGGUGCGUUGUUUCUUUGGGAUUCACCUCAAGGCUUUUCAGCCUAUCUAGGCGAUAACCUCUCAAAAGCGGAGCCAUUCUAGCGUCCAGGCCCAGGUUUGAGGCCAUGAUGACUCAACGCAGCAUCCCCUCCCCGUGACAAACAGCGGUCUCCGCCUAUUCCCAAUCAAUAUCAACCAGGCUCUCUGGGCGCCAGGAUUCCCAGUGCUUAGCUGGUGGGUAAAGGGGCUCAUCCCCUUCCCCAUAACCCAGCAGGCUAGAAGGCUUCUCCACCCAGUCUUCUGGAGUGCGGAGCUCUCGCCAGGAUUCUGCUCUCGAAGGCUUAGAAGGAUGUAACCUCCAGACCGGGAAUUUAAGACGCAAGAACCAGCCAGCGAAUGUGGCAGCCUAGCUCUCGAAUCUGUUCUUAAAUUCUUUUAUCAACAAGACCAAGAACGCUAAGACCGGGCCUCCAAUGUCCCUGGCAACUCCUGCACUGCUAUCUGAUAAUGCUCUGUCCUUCCCUGAACAGCAAGCCAGAUAACUACAGAAAUCUUCCCUGAAAAUGAAGUUUGGCUGGCAGUGAUUAUAAACAGCUGGUGCAGGCUGACAGGAGCGUGAUGGGCUUUACAAGGUUUCAGUCUGCCUGGACGGUCUGGAAAACUCCACUUGAAGCCUGCUCUGGCUGCUGACAAAAUGGAGCGAAUGGAGCUUAGCGUGACUUUGCUGCAUUCUUUGCUGGGGCCAGAAGAGGAUAUUACAUUCCCUGAAACUGAAGUAGGAGCUGCGAACUGAACCUGUGUCCUCUGGAAGAGUAAACCCAGACCACCAGCCCAGAGAUGGUACCACCCACAGAUGGCUGCAACCUUCCCCAUCGAUCACCGACUAAGAAAAUGCCUACAGGCUUGCCUACAGCCCGACGUAAUAGAGGCCGGGUGCUGGUUAAACAGAUAGAGUUUCUAAGAACGUGCUGCACUGCAAGCAAGGUCCGCAUGGCCUCCAGGUGAUCCAUGGCAGUCUGGAGAAGCAGUCACUGGCAACUGCCUCGGUCUUGUAUAAACAAACAUUUGGAGGAAGAAAGAGAAUGAAUGCAAUGGCCACAGCAGGGGCAAGGAGCAGAGGAUGCAGCAUCAUGAUGCCAGAGAACAAGAUGAAAGGGUAGAAGAUGGGGGGAGAAAUCAAGAUGUCACUGAUAACGCAUGUGUGUACGUAACAGGAUGUCAUUUGGGAGGAGAAGCUCCAGCACUUUUUCUGCAGAUUCUCAAGGGAGUCCUUGUUCCAAGAUGAGAUGGGCACCAGUGACUUAUGUUCAUUCGGUUUAGAAGAGAUAAUUCUGAGAUCCCGAGGAGGGACCUCCAAACCUGGACUAUCUGACACUACUGUGUUAUUUCCUGACGUUGCCUCCUUGUAGGAAGCCUACAGCUAUUCUGUUUGACAGAAUGAGAAGACAAGGAACUCAUUCCUGUCAAUCCAGCUUGGGAUUCCUGGACAGUUAAGAAGCGUCAUUGAUUGGAUCUUUGGUGCUGAGGAGGAAAUGGCUAUCCACAGAGACAAACCACUGAACGGCACUUAGUGCUCAUGCCAACCUGACAUGGGCAGUGAAGGUUCCUGACAGAAACCAUCUGGAAAUUAUCCUUUCGCACACAUAGCCCCUGCUUCCUUCUUUAAGUAACCACAUAGAGGUGCGUCUGUUAGAGUAUUGCAGGGGAGAAUAACUAGACAGUGGCAGGAAAAGCAUUUGGGAAGCUGAUUUCUUCUGCUAUUCUGGUUAUCCCUCUAAACAGGCAAUAUUUUUGUUGAAUGGGUACAAUCAGCGGUUUCUUGGAUUUGGCGGAUUUAAAAAUGGACGUGGCACAGGCCCAUUGGUACAUUGAUGUACGGCAAGAAUAAUAAAAACCCAGAGACAUGUUGGGGUUCAAGCUGAAGAUCAGAAAAGCAAAGCAGUCAAGCACUAGAGAGACCUUUUACCUCUACCAGAUCUUCAUACUGAAUAGGCGAAAUCCUGUCUCCACAAAUCCUCAGACUGCACACCACAGAGAGUUCCUGUCUCUUCUCCUUUAUCCUCCUCCUUCUGCCCAGUCAAGUCGCUCCUCUCUCCAUGUCUCUAGUGCUGGGAUUAAAAGUGGAACCACCACCACCCGGAUCUGUUUCUUGACCGAUCUUUGGUAACCCAGGGUGGCCUUGAACUCACAGAGAUCCGUCUGCCUCUGUCUCCUGAGUCCUGGGAUUAGAGGUGUUUGCCAUGACUCCCUGGCCUAUAUGGCUGACUAGUGUGGCUGUUUUGCCCUCUGAUCUUCAGACAAGAUUUAUUUAUUAAAACACAACUAAUAUACCACUAUAUUGAUGUGAGCAGCUUUAGAUAAUGGACGCACCACGGAUAAAGCGUCAGCAUGGAGUCCAGCAGAUUAUAAUGAUACGGGACUCUUACUAAUGACUCUUUGCUUACUGUAUUGUGAAUGAAGUUCCUAAGGAAUAAAAUCUUUACAAUGAAAUAAAAUCUCAAGAAAAGGUUAGGACCUAGUAAAAACAAGUUGUGUUUUAAGAGUGUUUUCUAUAUUCAGCACUGUUGGCUUUCAUUUGUAUUUAGAGACAUGUGUUACACUUACCUGGUUCAUAGUCUUCAGAAAUAAGAAUGGACAUUAUACUUUAAUAUUAAUAAGUUGCAUACACAGAACUAAACACUUUUGUUGAUAAAAGUUGACUAUAAAUGUCCAUGAGUCUAUUUUCUCUUUCUUAAUAGUAGCAUCCAUGUUUAAGAAAACACUAAAGAUUUUUUUAAACAUUUAAAGAUGUGAUGAAUUAUAGCAAUGAGAGCUAUUAGGAUUUCCUUUUCCCUCCAUGCUCCCUCCACGUUACAAUUGCUCCUAAGAAGUCAUGAUGUCCCUUACUUUCCACAUCAUGAACACCAAACUGAGAGAGGAUUAAGGAGUAGGGAGGUGGUUCAGUUGGUAAAGUAUUUGCAGAAUAAGCAUGGGGACCUAAGUUUGAUUCCCAGGACCCACAUAAAAGAAGUCAGGAAUGAUGGCAUGCAUUUAUAAUUCUAGUGCUGAGUAGGUCGAGACAGAUGGAUCCUGGGGCUGGCUGACCACCUGGUCUAAUUUAAUAGGUGAACCACAGAUUCAAGUGCGAGUUCUGUCUCAAAAACCAGGGUGAAUGCCUACUGAAGACUUAUACCUGUGGUUGAAAUUCUGGCUUCCACACAUGUGCAGGCGCCUAUACAUAUAUACGCACUCAAAUAAACAUGCGAACCCAUACCUCUCUCCGUGCACUUGAGUAGUCCAAUUUGGUUCGCUUAUAAUGUCCUACAGGGAGCAUUGUCAAUAGUGAUUUCGUCUCUUUCAUGAGCCCCGAGCUAUCUGAGAGUUCUCUAUAAGGCAUCAGCAGAAAAGCGGAACUUAUGCAUCGAUAAUUUCUUUCUUCUAUUGACAGUAAUAAGGAAAGCUGCCAACAACACCCCUCAGGGUCACCUUCCACUGAGUAUCAGAAUUCUUACUGUGCCCAGAUGCCUAGAAUUGAAGAGGAAAUGAGAUGUGUGAAAUGAAACUCGAGCCCAGAGCAAUAGCUUAAUAUGCUGGAGUUUAUAAAUAACGAUAUGUUUGGCUCAGCCUCCCAUGCUCAUAUAACAGUGGGAAGGAACCAAUAAAUCGCCUUACAACUGUCCCAUGUCAAAUUCAUUCUUCAUGAAUGCAAUUGCAAGUUGUCUGAGGCCUUAGGCUGUAACCCACGUCAGGGCUCUAUGGUUUUCCAAACUACCUAAUCUUUGCCCUCAUCACUGCUUAUGUUCCAAGAGGAGCUGGCUCCAAUUGUAUUUAUUGUGAUAGUGAUGUACUAUUCUAAACAAUUACUAUUUACCAUUACUAAAUACAGUUCUGUAUACAACAGCCCUUUUAUUCCUUCCUCCUCUUCCCCCUCCUCCUUAAAUGGAGGAAUUUGAUUCUACUGUGGUUGAUUAGGACUCGCCCUGGGAUCAGAUUCUUAUUGCAGAUAAUGCCAGUGAGGAAGCAAGGACAUCACUAUGAAGGAUAUAAACCAUAAACUCGGCUUAUCUCUACUGAAUUCUCAUGGACCUCUAAGAAUGGGAGGAUCUGCCUGUUGAUGGUUUUCCCAAAUAAAAGCCACCCAAGGGCAUAGACGUCAUGCGUCAAUGCCAACAAACAAUUGAAA